GCCAGGUGCGGUGGUGCACCCCUGUAAUCCCAGCAGCUGGGGAGGCUGAGACCGGAGGAUUGUGAGUUCAAAGCCAGCCUCAGCAAAAGUGAGGUGCUAAGCAACUCAGCUAGACCUUGUCUCUA
RNAcentral lists this small RNA (125 nucleotides) under Marmota monax (woodchuck). Lineage: Eukaryota; Metazoa; Chordata; Mammalia; Rodentia; Sciuridae. The record is from RNAcentral.